Molecule: long non-coding RNA, 965 nt
Organism: Bos taurus (domestic cattle)
Lineage: Eukaryota; Metazoa; Chordata; Mammalia; Artiodactyla; Bovidae
Source: Ensembl
UGAGACGCUGCCCAGGGGUCGCGCGAGACCGAGAUCUGGGACGGCGCCCCACCUCACGCGCCCCGCCUGCGGGAGCACAGCUGUUAAUAUCCCAAUUCUAAAGAAGCCAGGAAACAGGAGCGACUUGUGGACACGCAAGGACUCGAACACUCAGAUAAGGAUAAUGGUUGGGUCCCUGGUCCAGGAAGAUCCCACAUGCUUUGGAGCUGCUAAGCCUGUGCACCACAACUACUGAGCCUGCACGCUGGAGCCCAGGAGCCAGGUACUAAGGCCACGCACACCAGAGCCUGUGCUUGGCGUCAAGAGAAGCCACCACAGUGAGAAGCCAGUGCACCGCAGCUAGAGAGUAGCCCCUGCUCUCCACAACUAGAGAAAGCCUGUGCAGAGCAAUGAAAGACCCAGUGCAGCCAAAAAUAAAUAAAAUUAUUUUUAAAAUAAAAAUGUUGGCAACAGUUGAAAAACUUGAAUACACUGUGUGGACUGAAACAAACACAUUUGUGGGCAGACCUAGCUCUUGAGCCACCUAUAUGUAGCUCUGACUUUGACUGACACAGUGAAAGUUGACCAAGUGGAUACGGCUUGAGUCCCAGCGCAGGGCACCUUCAGGCCACUAUUGGGCGCACAUCCCUUGCACUCUCCAUGCCUGGGAACCAACAGAAAAAAACCUUUUUGGGUAGAGGUGGAGUCAACCCAGGGAAAAUGAAUCAGUCUGCUGAGAGCCUGAAGAAAACUGUUGUGUACCUGUGCUGGUUACUUUCUAUCUAUUUACCUGGACAUUGUUUGUACCUAAGAUUGUGGUAAGGAAGGUCAUGAGUCUUACACGACCACCUGUGUAACGUGUGUAAAGAUUUCCUGUGGAGGAGGUCCCCUGGCCAGGCAUAAAGGACAGAGGAAGUAACCACUGUUUGGACAUAAAUAGCCCUCAGUUUCAACCAGCUUGGAGGGAAAUAGGCAGAAACCCAGGG